ACGAAGGGUGCAAGCGUUAAUCGGAAUUACUGGGCGUAAAGGGUGCGUAGGCGGUUCGUUAAGUCUGUCGUGAAAUCCCCGGGCUUAACCUGGGAAUUGCGCUUGAAACUAGCGGGCUUGAGUGUGGCAGAGGGGGGUGGAAUUCCACGUGUAGCAGUGAAAUGCGUAGAGAUGUGGAGGAACACCGAUGGCGAAGGCAGCCCCCUGGGUCAACACUGACGCUCAUGCACGAAAGCGUGGGGAGCGAACAGGA
RNAcentral lists this ribosomal RNA (253 nucleotides) under uncultured prokaryote. RNAcentral's name for it is "partial 16S ribosomal RNA". It matches the Rfam family "Bacterial small subunit ribosomal RNA", at positions 525 to 777 of the family's 1533-position model. The record is from RNAcentral.